CUAUACUAUAACUAAUAAAAUACAAAAUAAUUCGAAAAAAUGGAAUUAUAUGAAAAUUCACUUUGUGAGUAUGCUAAUAACCUAAUCUAUCAAACAUUUUAUUAUGGUUAUAUUUGAAGAUAACAAUGCAAAUAUUGCUGUACAACAUUUGUAACGGUACGUGAUAAUCGAUGAAUAAUAUUAUUAUGAUGUCAGAUUCGGAAAAAUUAUUUUGUCAGAAUCAGUUGACAUUUUAAAGAUACUUGAAGAAAUGAUCAAUGUUUGUCGAUACUGAAUUUUCUUGUGGUAAUAAAUAUAAUCGAUUAAAGCUUAAAUAAUUUAAUCACUUUAUUCGGGAGUAAAUGAUUUAUAGUAGUUUGUUAUUUAUUAGUAAUAGCAUAAAGGGAGUAUAUAUAUAUAUAUAUAUAUAUAUAUAUAUAUAUACUCCUCUUCUAUCUUAACUAAUAAAUAAUGAAGUAAUUUGAACGUUCCAAAUCACUAUUAUGAUUUGCAACUGUAUAAUAUACUAUUUUGAUGAGUUUAUAACUUUAAUUCAGAGUAGGAAAAUCUACUCUUUUAUAAUGAAUACGAGACGAAGACAUUGAAGACCACGUGACUAAGUGAUGUCCCUAAUGAAAAAAUAUAUAUCUCUGCAAAAUAGUUAAUACGUGACUUAUAUCUUUAGUAUUAUCAUAUAUAUGCUAUUAUGCCGGCAGGUAUUCCUGGACAUAUAUUUUUUCGUGUGAGGUAUGUCCUACUACUCAAAAUUACUGCCAUUUCCUUACGUUUAUCAUAGCUAAUGUUAAAUACUAUUUACGCAUGGGAUGAAGAAUUAUAAAAGCUCUAUAUUUGUCAAUUAAUAUUGAAUUAAUAAACUUUCAAUAUCACAGUAAUUCAUUAUUUGAAGUUUUAUGUAAUUCAACUCACUGUAUACUUAUAAUUAUUGUUAUUAUCUAUUCAUGGCUCACAAUCUCAUUCAAACCUACGGUCUUGUUUGGCGCCUCUAUGUACUUUUUUAGCCUUAAUAUUCGUAACAAUCAUGACGUCCGCAGCAUAUUAAAACAAUUGCCCAUUAUUCCCGACCAUUGAAUACUGGUUAGACAAUUGAUUAAAGAAAGUGGCAUAAAUCAUUAUACGUGUGUUUGAAAUUGAAUACAUUACAACUUUUUUUAUGUUACAAUUAAUUUAUUGCGUUAAUUAUGUUUGUAGUCUUAUUAAGAUUUUUGAACCGGUUCCAAAAGAUAAAGCAACUGUUCUAUGUAUAUUAUUUCAUUUAUGUCAUGCGCUGACGAUUUAAAAAUGAAGGCGUCAAAUAAAAUUCAGUCGUUGGUAUUUAUUAAAUUCAUAAUUAACUAAAAAAUAAUAAUUUUUUGGCCCAUUCAUUAGUUUUUAUUUCUUACCAUCUUGUUUAUUUUUUCACGACAGAAUUAUAUUCAAAUGCGUCUAGUAGUUCGGUAGAGUAGUUUCGCAAUCAGCGCUGCAAAACAUUUAUGAUUUCUGAAACUGAACGUUAAUGAUUCUAACGUUUUAUUUUAACUGCUCAUUUUUGUAAUCGUGAUGGAUUUUUUCUAAAAAAAGACUUUAUGAGAGCAAUAAAACCUCUCGGCGCUUUCAACUCUUUUAUUUUGCCAAAAUCUUUAUCAUGUAAGAAAUAAAUUAGGUCUCAUAGCAGUCUGUUGUGAUAAAGAAGCUAACAAAUGGAGAUUCGCAAAGUUCGUUACAGAACCAUAGACAAAACAGGAUCAUAAAGUACCUCAGUAACAACAUCUGUUCAAAUUUACUCUACUGUUGAAAACUGAGUGAGCUCGUAAAACUGCGAAAACAUAUCGCUUAAAUUUGGAACCGAGUCCUUGAACCGCCUGGCGUUCAUUUUGAGAUAUUCAGAGAUGAUUUAUAUUAACGUAAAACCUGAUAGUAUUUUCUGAUACUACGAAUAGAUAAUAGUCUACCAACAAAAUGUCAUCGACGGUUGGGACUCAUGAUAAGAUACUGUUGUUUGUUUUGUUCAUAUAUAACCUAUGACUCCAAUUGAUAAGAAAAACGGAAUAGGGCUUUUCUCUUAUCGAAUAAUGUGAACCGCUCGCAAUAACAUGUGCUGAUUGGACGACAAAUGCAGAUAACAGAUAUCAAAAUUUGGAAUUUUCAACUUGUUAUUACGUCAAAUAAAUAGUGCGCAUAUCUAAAAGUUUUUGAAAAUUCGAUAUUUUCAUGAGUUCUCUCAAUGGAUAAAAUAACGCAACCAACUAAUACUUUUGCAAAACUAUUAUUAAAAAUGAUGUCAUUUCCGCCCACACCUAGUUCUGGUUUUAACACAAACAUGUUUAUGUCGGGUCGUAAAAAUGUAAGUGAUACUACUCACAUUACACAAACGAUUUUUCACUCUUAUUAUGAUUCUGAGUUAUAAUGGAAGUAAAAUAACUCAGUAAGUCAAUGAACGUUAGUUGAACUCAUAAGGUCUUAAAUUAUAAAUAAUUGUGUCAAUGAUACUCGACACAAUAGUCCUAUAGAUUGGUUGAUAGUCUAAAUGUUUAUUCUCUAUAUAUUUCUGGCAAUUCAUUUUCAUAGGGAACCGUAUAUUAUACGAUUUCCAGUACUACCUAAUGGAAUUGAGGUGAAUAAACUUAGUGACGAGCAUGGUUUGAGUAUUGACUAAUACAAUAUUUUUAGAUAGAACAUUGCAUCUGUGAAUAUUAAUUUGUAAACUAUCGGGAUUCGAGGAUUUUUGAAUUCAAAGAACUAUAAGGAUAUCAUUUUAUUAAAUGAACCACAAACAAGGAUAAAGUGUUCUCGGAAAAGGCAUAAGGAUACCUAGGAGACCACCAAGUUCAAAAAUCGCAAAACCUGAAAUCUCAUGGAGAAGUGAACAAACUAUUCAAAGAGAUGGACAAAAGAAACUUUUACGUCGCAAUACUAUUUAAAAUGAAACAGCCGUCAAUUAUCAUUAAGUUUAAUUACCUGAAAAAUUAUUUCGGUCACAGUUUUUUUUUACCCACAAUGUAUUAAAUGUAAGGUUCUAUAACUACCACAAUCUAUGUACAUUUGUCAUGACCGAUUGCUGAAAGUAAAAGAUUUAUU
This is an RNA transcript of Microplitis demolitor, 3054 nucleotides long. RefSeq lists it as uncharacterized. The transcript has 2 exons. The record is from RefSeq and is a predicted model, not a curated record. Lineage: Eukaryota; Metazoa; Arthropoda; Insecta; Hymenoptera; Braconidae.